RNAcentral lists this ribosomal RNA (405 nucleotides) under uncultured Oscillospiraceae bacterium. RNAcentral describes it as "bacterial SSU rRNA". It matches the Rfam family "Bacterial small subunit ribosomal RNA", at positions 355 to 776 of the family's 1533-position model. The record is from RNAcentral. Lineage: Bacteria; Bacillati; Bacillota; Clostridia; Eubacteriales; Oscillospiraceae.
UGGGGGAUAUUGCACAAUGGAGGAAACUCUGAUGCAGCGACGCCGCGUGAGGGAAGACGGUCUUCGGAUUGUAAACCUCUGUCUUUAGGGACGAAAAAAUGACGGUACCUAAGGAGGAAGCCACGGCUAACUACGUGCCAGCAGCCGCGGUAAUACGUAGGUGGCAAGCGUUGUCCGGAAUUACUGGGUGUAAAGGGAGCGUAGGCGGGGAGACAAGUUGAAUGUUUAAACUAUCGGCUCAACUGAUAGUCGCGUUCAAAACUAUCACUCUUGAGUGCAGUAGAGGUAGGCGGAAUUCCUAGUGUAGCGGUGAAAUGCGUAGAUAUUAGGAGGAACACCAGUGGCGAAGGCGGCCUACUGGGCUGUAACUGACGCUGAGGCUCGAAAGCGUGGGUAGCAAACAGG